Molecule: long non-coding RNA, 254 nt
Organism: Rhinopithecus roxellana (golden snub-nosed monkey)
Lineage: Eukaryota; Metazoa; Chordata; Mammalia; Primates; Cercopithecidae
Exons: 3
Source: RefSeq, a predicted model, not a curated record
GAGUAUUAACAGUACGCCCCAGUCAACACUCCAUGAAGUCAGAAGAUCUGGAUGGAGUACUGUUUCCUCAAUCUACUAUCUAUGUAACCCUGGGCAAGGACUCCCGAAGAUUAUCUAAGUCAUCCUAUACAUCUCAGAUGGAGCAUUUUUUUCCCCUUGACUGCAGAAGUUUUACUUUAGUGAAAGAAAAGCUACAGACAGACCUGGUGGCACACGUCUGUAAUCCCAGCACUUUUGUGAGGUCAAUGCGGGUG